This 480-nucleotide ribosomal RNA is filed under the name uncultured Acinetobacter sp. Its description in RNAcentral is "bacterial SSU rRNA". It matches the Rfam family "Bacterial small subunit ribosomal RNA", at positions 33 to 502 of the family's 1533-position model. The record is from RNAcentral. Lineage: Bacteria; Pseudomonadati; Pseudomonadota; Gammaproteobacteria; Moraxellales; Moraxellaceae.
AAUGACGCUGGCGGCAGGCUCACACGAUCGAAAGUCGAGCGGGGGAAGGCCGCUUGCUACUGGACCUAGCGGCGGACGGGUGAGUAAUGCUUAGGAAUCUGCCUAUUAGUGGGGGACAACAUCUCGAAAGGGAUGCUAAUACCGCAUACGUCCUACGGGAGAAAGCAGGGGAUCUUCGGACCUUGCGCUAAUAGAUGAGCCUAAGUCGGAUUAGCUAGUUGGUGGGGUAAAGGCCUACCAAGGCGACGAUCUGUAGCGGGUCUGAGAGGAUGAUCCGCCACACUGGGACUGAGACACGGCCCAGACUCCUACGGGAGGCAGCAGUGGGGAAUAUUGGACAAUGGGCGCAAGCCUGAUCCAGCCAUGCCGCGUGUGUGAAGAAGGCCUUAUGGUUGUAAAGCACUUUAAGCGAGGAGGAGGCUACUUUUGAUAAUACCUAGAGAUAGUGGACGUUACUCGCAGAAUAAGCACCGGCUAACU